This 498-nucleotide ribosomal RNA is filed under the name uncultured bacterium. Its description in RNAcentral is "bacterial SSU rRNA". It matches the Rfam family "Bacterial small subunit ribosomal RNA", at positions 899 to 1397 of the family's 1533-position model. The record is from RNAcentral.
ACUCAAAGGAAUUGACGGGGGCCCGCACAAGCGGAGGAGCAUGUGGUUUAAUUCGAUGAUACGCGAGGAACCUUACCUAGACUUGAACGUAUUUGGAAUGAUGUAGAAAUAUAUCCGCCAGCAAUGGCCAUUUACGAGGUGCUGCAUGGUUGUCGUCAGCUCGUGCCGUGAGGUGUUAGGUUAAGUCCUGCAACGAGCGCAACCCUUACUGUUAGUUACCAGCAUGUAAUGAUGGGGACUCUAGCGGAACUGCCGGCGCAAGCCGUGAGGAAGGUGGGGAUGACGUCAAAUCAGCACGGCCCUUAUGUCUAGGGCGACACACGUGCUACAAUGGGUGGUACAGAGGGCAGCUACUGCGUGAGCAGAUGCUAAUCUCCAAAACCAUUCUCAGUUCGGAUCGGAGUCUGCAACUCGACUCCGUGAAGUUGGAUUCGCUAGUAAUCGCUCAUCAGCCAUGGAGCGGUGAAUACGUUCCCGGGCCUUGUACACACCGCCCGU